Long non-coding RNA from Lagopus muta (rock ptarmigan), 4663 nucleotides. RefSeq lists it as uncharacterized. The transcript is spliced from 4 exons. The record is from RefSeq and is a predicted model, not a curated record. NCBI's taxonomy places the organism in Eukaryota, Metazoa, Chordata, Aves, Galliformes, Phasianidae.
CAGUAUGUGUGGACCAAUUGCCCAGAGUGAGGACCAGUGGUUACAGCAGGGAAAUUCAUUUUAGCACCAGAUCCCUCAUCCCUCCUGCUGGUCUCCUUUUGAAGUUCUAGAAAACGUGAUGCUCUUUCAUAGCAAAUUCCUGCAUGCAGAGCAGGUCUGUGCUGCUCUGCUCACCCCCACCAUUCUCAGGGCAGCUGAUGGGACGUAGCUGUGCCCAACAUCACUCUACAGAGCUCCUCAUGCUGCGUUGCCAUUCCUGCUGACCACAGCAUGCACAGAUGCGAUACUCAGCACCAGGAGAACACUUCCUUCUGCAUCACAGGACCUUAGGAGCAUUGCAUUGCAUCUAAAUAUGCAAAAUCAGGGAGUUGUUUUUGUCCAAAGCACUCAGCAAACCCAGCCUGCUUCUACCAGUGCUACUGAACAAAGUUGGGACUCCUCCAUGGGCCACUUGCAGUUUGGAACCUUUCGUAAGGGACUCAGAAGUUCUUACUUCACCACCUAUUCCUCAUCCGGAGAAGACAAACAGAGAUUACCUGGGAGAAGGAAGAGGGAACUUAUCUUGACUGCCUUGUAAGGGAUUUCCAGGGCAGAAGAAAAGCAUCAUUUUCUGCACAAAAGGAAUCUGUGAGAAGUUGUGACUUGUGGCAUGAGUGUAACCAGUGCACCAUGCAAAUGAAGUCAUCCCAUGGUCUGAUUUUCUUCCAGACAGAAAUGAAGGAAGGAGGAGGACGAGGAAGAAUGUUGGUAUGUUUUGUAAGAACUUGGCUUAGUUUCCAAGUUGAAAGCAAAUAAUGCCUUUACUUGCAUCCCAGGAGGUAAAUGCCCUCUAAGAAAACAAAGCCAUUAAUUAUUUUCAGGAUCUUUUAAUUAUUUUUAUUAGGGUGACUAAUCCAGCCAGAUCUGUUUGUGAAAACAGAUUAUAGACACAAACUAUGAACAUGACCUAGGGAAGCCACAGCAAACUGGCUCUUAUCUCCCAUCACAACUCCUGGCAUCCCCUCCUCCAUUUGCACAUCAUAGUAAGACUGCAGUAAAUAUUCAGGAUCAUUCUCAUCCAGCAUAACCGCACUGACUUGUAGGAGAUGAUCCUGAGUGGUGUUCCAAAUAGGUGUCACACAUCAGUUGAAAUGUGGCUUUCUAUUCAGCCUUCAUUUUACUCAGAUAAAUUAUUGCUUGCACCUCCUCGCUGUUUUGCAAUGAGGCUGGGAUAUUACACAGAGAUUUACCUGUGGGACGAGCUAUGACUGCUGCAAAAAAGCACCACCUCUUUUCUACUUGAAGGGUAUUUCCUCUCCUCACUCUGCUCUCGUCUCCUCCCAUCACACGCAGCAAAGGACAGCUGACAUUAAUGUGUCAGAUAUCCUUCACUUUUAUGUUAGAAAUCUGCUUAGCUCCUAUUCUAUUAGACAUUGUAUUUCUAGUUAAAGAACUUGUACAACACCAAAAACCACUGGCUUUGAAACCUGUCAUCAGUCACUUAUCAAACUAAUAAAAACCGUAACCACCAGCCUGGAUCCCAGCUGCACCCUGCUAUUAACCUCCCUUUUUUAAUUUGGAAAGGUUCCCUUAGUUUUCCACCCUGCCAGUGGUUUUUAACACAACAUGUCAAUUCCGCUCCUUUUCUGCAGUUUAAGCAUUAACCUUUGUUCUGGAGAGGUGUCAGGUUCUCCUUGAAAAGUAAAUUACUGGCUGGCCCUGGCCACCCCGAGAAGCUGAGGGCUCCAGCACAGCCAUCGUGCUCCUCUGCAAAUGUCCAAAGUCCUUAAUCCUAGCAUCAAGUGGAAGAAGAAUGGGUAUGGGAGCAGGAGGGUGGCAGGAGAACUGGCAUCCCAACACAACGCUCAACAAUGCCUACAGACAGACACAGCACUCUCACUUGUGGAGGAAAUGAUUCUGAAGGGACCUGGUACUAGAUCAUCCACCUUCUGACGAGGAUGCAUCAGAGAAACACAGAAUGGCUUACGUUGGCGGAGACCUUAAAGAUCCAAGCCCCCAGCCAUGGGCAGGGUUGCAAACCAACAGCUCUCCAGCCUGGGGAAUGGGGAAUCCACAGCUUUUCUGGGCAGCCUGUACCAAACUUGGAUGGUUCCUCCCCUCUCACUACUGCCAAUUCGCAAAAGAUUUGGCACAGGUCACAGGGAACAUAUUCUUUUCUUUUUGAAAGUGUCUCACUAAAACACGAGAUGAGGACAGUUGGAGCAAACUUUCUGAAAUUUCCAAGACGUUGAUGUGUCUCGUCAGCAUCAACUAUGCUGUUUGCCCCCCUCCUGCAAAGACACAGAGUGCUUUAUCCUUCCCAAAGGUAAACAAAUGAGCGAAGAGAUCAAGAGCCCUGUCCAUCUUAACCACUCCGGAGAGCAGGGGGAGCUGGCAGGGACAAAUUGAGUGGUGCUGCUUGCUGGCAUGGGUAUGCUGUGCUCUCCUCAGUGCAGAAGGGCCAGCAAUUGUAGCGGGAACAGAAAGAAUUUUGCUUCAAUAGGCAGUCUUGAUGAAGUUAAACAAAGAUUUUGCAUUAAGGAAGAAAACAGACCACAGGCAAUCAUCUAGUUUCAGACUUUCCUUGCUUCUCUAAGCAGCUGUGUGCUGUUCAUCAAGAAAGAUCACAGCGAGGACAUGAUUUCAUGUCAGUCUUGCAUCCUCCCCUUUAAGAAAGCUUAAGGCAUCCUUUCAGACUGAGUUAUUUCCUUAAAUUGAUUGGUAGAGCUUUAACAUUGCCAGAAAAGCAAUGCAGUCAAUAUAAUCCACAAAAAUAUCAUAUUUUGACAGAGCAAAAUAAGAAGAAAAAAGCCUCCAAGCCUUUAAGUAACAUUGGCACUGAGCAGUGAGUCACAGUUCCCCUUGGGGAGAAGCAGACAGAAACCCUCAUGCUGCAGCCUUCAGCCUGAUUUGCGAUGCAAAAAGGAAGACGAACACAAUCAGUCUUGCCUCCAUUUCAAUUUUGUUUGCAUAGCAUGUUCAUAAUUACGGGCUGUUUGGAGAGCUGUGUUCUGUACACAGCAUACAAUAAACACAUAAACAGUGCUGGGGUCGGCCACAAGAGUCCUGAAAGCUGUCAACUUUUCAGCACUGAAGAACUGAAAAAGAAAAAUUUGGAAGUAUACCACAGUUAGCUAAAUAAUCUCAGUGUUUAACAGCGUGAGGAAAAGCACGCUGCAUUUUCAUUUCCUUUGCAUCAAGAGCAUUAAAACUGAAGAACUGACAGAAACUGCAUGAUAACAUGGUUCAGAGGCCACCGGGGUGCUGUGUGCCUGCUCUGCAGAAAGCAAAAUGAAGGGGAUUCCAAAAGUGCAAGCUACACCAGCAUUCAUGGAUUAUUAUUAGAUGUAAGCAUUCAAUUCCCUCUCAAUGAUACCUGGACAAAUAUUCAUUUUUUUUCUCUUCCUACGCACUGUCCUGGGGAGCUGUGGUUGUUUGAAAUCCAAUGUUAUUUCCAUGAGCAGCUCCUUGUCUGUGAGGGUAUCACUGGGGAUAUCCACUGCGAUGUUCAGAGGGAGCUGUCAAUUCAGUGCCCUUUGGAACCGGCCAGUCUGAUUAACGUGCAAAUCCAGCAGGUUUUUUCUUCCGUCACAAUUAGCCAAGAGAUAUCCAACUCAGGUUCCAUAGUAAAACAGCCACUGUUUUGAGCAGGAAAUUUAAUUUCUGUAAAAUUUCACGCAUUGGAAUUUGCGACGUCUGCUAUGAGGUGCAUUCAGAGAAGUCAGUGAAAUCACAAAAUGAUUACGAGUUCAGCAAAGUGAGCAUUUCUCUUCGCCUCGGCAAAUUCUGACAACAUAUUGAGACUUCCCCCCUUGUCACAAAUAAGUGAAUGGCAGCAGGAAAGCACCAUGCUCAGGACGGUUCACAGGCUGCUCAAGAAAAGCAAACAGGGAAAUGUCGUGAGGGUUAGCCCCUCUGCCAAUGUACCAUUCCUAGCUUGCCAAAACUGCGUGGGACUGCAGGUUUCUGGUUUGUUGAAUAAGACAUCUGAGAAGGAUUUUGAGGAUGAAUGUUAAUUUACACUCUUUGUUUCGUGCGAUGAAGGGCUCAUUUUCACUCAUCAUCCUUUAACGCUUCUGCAUGUUUAUAUAAUCAGAGGAAAUCAGGCUUAUUUUAAGUCUUUUCCAAACUAUUAGAAGGAAAAUUCAUUUUCAUGGAAAAUUUGCUUUGUAACUCCAUGAAGUCCCUCCAGGAUCAGCGAUCACAAGGCUGACAUUAAGGAGGACAAGCAGUGCCUUUUGACAGGACUCUCCUCAGCUCAGACAGCCCUCAGGCACUCAAGCAAUCUUUCCUCUGGUGAGCAGUCACCAUUCCAGGCAAUGUUUGCUCGUUAUUUCCAUCAAAAGACCCAGAGAUCCACUUGUGCUGUGUGUGUUAAUUAGACAGUUAUCACUUUUGCAUCAGAGACUGGAAUCUGUAAGGGUGCUCUGAUGACUGCCUGGAGGACACCACAACUGCUGCAGUCAGGGACAGCAUCGACUCAACUUCACACUAACUCUUGUGCUUCAAGGACAUCUCUUCCAACAGGAACCAAGUCACAUCCCACACUCAAUUUUCUUCUCUCUUACUACCAAGCACAGAUAAAUGUAAUUGCAUCUGCCCUCAUAAAUCCUUCCAUUAAUGUGUGUCCUGAGUUACAGAAAGGUUCAGAAGGCACGUUAGGUUCAAUCAGAGAAGUUAAACG